UUGACUCAACGCGGGAAAUCUUACCGGGUCCGGACACACUGAGGAUUGACAGACAAAUAUGGAAAUUUUAUAUUUCUCAUAUAUAAAGAUGCUAGUUCUUUCAUGAUUAUGUGAUAGGUGGUGCAUGGCCGUUCUUAGUUCGUGGAGUGAUCUGUCUGCUUAAUUGCGUUUCAAUUUUUAUUAUGUAUACGUAUGACCCACGUUUACGCGUGCGAGUCUAGUAUGCUAUCAUUUGAAAGCAACGAACGUGACCGUAUCCUUUUAUUAUAUACGCACGCGUAUAUUUAUUCAUUAAAGGGACCGCUGUUUCUUUUUUUAAACCAGAGGAAGGUUACGGCAAUAACAGGUCUGUGAUGCC
RNAcentral lists this ribosomal RNA (358 nucleotides) under Elphidium williamsoni. RNAcentral's name for it is "SSU rRNA". It matches the Rfam family "Eukaryotic small subunit ribosomal RNA", at positions 1195 to 1471 of the family's 1831-position model. The record is from RNAcentral. Lineage: Eukaryota; Foraminifera; Rotaliida; Elphidiidae.